GCCCUUCUCUAAGGAAUAGCCUCUGGAAACGGAGAGUAAUACCUUAUACGCCCUUCGGGGGAAAGAUUUAUCGGAGAAGGAUUAGCCCGCGUAAGAUUAGAUAGUUGGUGGGGUAAUGGCCUACCAAGUCUACGAUCUUUAGCUGGUUUGAGAGGAUGAUCAGCAACACUGGGACUGAGACACGGCCCAGACUCCUACGGGAGGCAGCAGUGGGGAAUCUUAGACAAUGGGCGCAAGCCUGAUCUAGCCAUGCCGCGUGAGUGACGAAGGCCUUAGGGUCGUAAAGCUCUUUCGCCAGAGAUGAUAAUGACAGUAUCUGGUAAAGAAACCCCGGCUAACUCCGUGCCAGCAGCCGCGGUAAUACGGAGGGGGUUAGCGUUGUUCGGAAUUACUGGGCGUAAAGCGUACGUAGGCGGAUUAGUCAGUCAGAGGUGAAAUCCCAGGGCUCAACCCUGGAACUGCCUUUGAUACUGCUAGUCUUGAGUUCGAGAGAGGUGAGUGGAAUUCCAAGUGUAGAGGUGAAAUUCGUAGAUAUUUGGAGGAACACCAGUGGCGAAGGCGGCUCACUGGCUCGAUACUGACGCUGAGGUACGAAAGUGUGGGGAGCAAACAGGAUUAGAUACCCUGGUAGUCCACACCGUAAACGAUGAAUGCCAGUCGUCGGGCAGUAUACUGUUCGGUGACACACCUAACGGAUUAAGCAUUCCGCCUGGGG
This 715-nucleotide ribosomal RNA is filed under the name uncultured Rhodobacterales bacterium. RNAcentral describes it as "bacterial SSU rRNA". It matches the Rfam family "Bacterial small subunit ribosomal RNA", at positions 128 to 878 of the family's 1533-position model. The record is from RNAcentral. Lineage: Bacteria; Pseudomonadati; Pseudomonadota; Alphaproteobacteria; Rhodobacterales.